GCGAAUCUUGAGGAGCUUGCUCCUUAAUUGUUAGCGGCGGACGGGUGAGUAACACGUGGGCAACCUGCCUGUAAGACUGGGAUAACACCGGGAAACCGGUGCUAAUACCGGAUAAUUCUUCACCUCUCAUGAGGUGAAGCUGAAAGUCGGUUUCGGCUGACACUUACAGAUGGGCCCGCGGCGCAUUAGCUAGUUGGUGAGGUAACGGCUCACCAAGGCGACGAUGCGUAGCCGACCUGAGAGGGUGAUCGGCCACACUGGGACUGAGACACGGCCCAGACUCCUACGGGAGGCAGCAGUAGGGAAUCUUCCGCAAUGGACGAAAGUCUGACGGAGCAACGCCGCGUGAGUGAUGAAGGCCUUCGGGUCGUAAAACUCUGUAGUUAGGGAAGAACAAGUACCGGAGUAACUGCCGGUACCUUGACGGUACCUAACCAGAAAGCCACGGCUAACU
This 454-nucleotide ribosomal RNA is filed under the name uncultured Bacillus sp. RNAcentral describes it as "bacterial SSU rRNA". It matches the Rfam family "Bacterial small subunit ribosomal RNA", at positions 66 to 502 of the family's 1533-position model. The record is from RNAcentral. Lineage: Bacteria; Bacillati; Bacillota; Bacilli; Caryophanales; Bacillaceae.